Daphnia magna is the source of this 3769-nucleotide long non-coding RNA. RefSeq lists it as uncharacterized. Lineage: Eukaryota; Metazoa; Arthropoda; Branchiopoda; Diplostraca; Daphniidae. The record is from RefSeq and is a predicted model, not a curated record. The transcript has 12 exons.
UCUCAGGUAAUAUGUAAAAAUAAUCAUGUAUGGUUGUAUCACAAAAUUAUUUUGCUAAUGAUCAAAUUUAUAAUUAGUAAAUUUAUACAAAAUAUCGAGGAAAAUAUGUAUCCGGUCAUAUGUUAUUCUAAGCUAUCUUGUGACGUAGAUUUCGAACGACUUUUUAAGUUUGGGACAUUUAAUUUCGCUUAUUAUUUAAAUGCAGAGUCAUUUGAUUUUGAGUUCCAAAGUUAGAAGUGAGGGUUAAACAAGAUAAUUACCACGUAGCUGGGAGAUUUUCCAACCAAACGCCAACUUUUGUGUACUCAACGUGCAUUGAAUAGAGUUACUCGUUUGAACUAGUUGUGCUGUCAUUCACAACUCAGUGUCAUGGAAAAAAAAUAGUCUACCACCUGACUGAUUUAAUAGCCAGCUCAAAGUAAUUGAUUUCCGGCUCCCAUUACGUAAUGUCGUCCCACAUUUCUUCCAUAACAAGUUCAUUUUCACUCUUCACUUGCACAUUACAAUGAUACAAAAGUCUUUCUGAUACGAGGACUACGAUCGUCACUUCACGUUGUGGACGGACGUAGCAUAGGGCCACCGCCGAACAAUUCGGCGUUGAUAAUAUAUUGUUUUAAAACGAAAUAUUUUCUACAGCCAACGGCUACUUUAUCACAUAAAUUUGAUUCUGGGUUGAUAUCUAAUUUGACGCAUUUGAGUUCCGAAUGAGGUUGUCGGGACGAAAGAAUUCUUACGUACCCAAAACAAUUGGUAGUGUUUCGUAUGACGUGGGAUAGCUGGUACCAAUGUUGGUAUGAUCAUCAGAUUAUAAUCGUUCGAUGAGCAACAAUAUAAUAAUAAUAAUCAAAAACAGUUAAUAUUUAAAUGCCAUCUCAAACACUACGUGAUCCGAUAUCCACCCCAGGAAGAACUCCAUCUAGUGUGCAGUUUUGUUUCACGAUAACAAUUCAAACACUUGUGGAAUUGCAAAUGGCCGUUAACGUUCUUUAAGUAGAAAAAUUAAAAACAGUAGUAAAUGCGAGUUUUCGAUGGUUGUCGCCAUCGACAAGGUUUCUAUCUCCACAGCGGACUUCAUGCCCGUGAAGCAUGGCAAGGCUAAAAUGCGGGAGAAUCUGUGGUGUAAUUCCCAGACAGGAAAAAAAAGUUUUGUGAGUAAUCACUUUGUUUUUGCUAUUAGUUAAGUCUUAACAAAGGAAAACCAUCGUUUCUAAAGUGAACCUUGCUUCUAAUUUUAUCUGGCAUCGCUUCGACUGAUUUUGUUUUCAAUCAUCUGAAUUGUUACAUGUUAAGACGACAUUAUUGUAACGGGCUAUUUUAAACUCUAUUUCUACUAGUGCGAGCUUUUAUAAUCUUGGGAACUCCCAUCUCUACCCUUUUCGAUCUGUUCUUCGCUUCUGCACUUAUAAGCUUCGCACUCCAAACAUUAACAUUGAAGUACGAGUUUCAUCUUGAGGCAGCAAGCUUAGACUGUAAAGUGAAUAUGGCAUCUGCAGUAAAGCUACUCUUACACUUCUAAAGGGCAUUUGAUAGGUAAAUCACCAUAUGUCGCAAUCAACGUAUUAAUGUGGUUUUCCUGUGCCGAUUUGUGGUCGACUGAAGAUGAAAAUUUAAACAGGUUUAUAGUCAGCUGCUAAGGUUCAACUAUUCAAUAAACAGGAAAGAAAUAAGUCCAUGUGCCUAUCCAGAAAACAGUUGGUGGUUAUUAACUGUUCGUCACGCAGAACGUUUGGUGACAGCCAAUUUGAAGAGCCUCGUCCAUCAUCAGGGUGCCAUUGAAACUGUUCCAGCAAGCGUUAAUACCACCAAUGAUCACCACUAGUAGAAAUUACGACUUUCCUCUUAUUGGCGGGGACGCAAGAUCACCACGAACGACACAAGCUCGAACGAUCAAGUUCUAUCGCCGAACUAAUGAAUGUUAGUCCCCCCACCCCCCUUCUGUGUACAUCAGGAACAGGCAGAUGUAAACAGCCUACAUGGAGCAGCAGAGCCCGCGAGUCAUCAUGAAACACUGACUCCAUCACAACAACCACACCGCUGAGGAAAAUUCCAUGCCAUCACGCGCCUGCCCGCCAUCCAAUCAGCUCACCAGUCACGAGCCGAACAUUACGUUUGAAAAGGAGAGCCAAGGGAUAUAUGGGAGGAGACGGCAAAAGGUCGCUUUGCUUUUGUUUGCCGUUCAACUCGGGUACCUCGGUUUCCCAUAAGGCAAUCGUCGCCUUUCAUCCCAUUUUGAUAAAGGAAUCCGCACCCAAUUUAUCGAUGGAAAAUUUUCUCUUUCAAAACUCAGUUACACAAUUUGCAACGUUGCUCGGUCUGGAGAACGUAUCUAAUUUUUGUCUUCCACGUUGCUGUGUCGCCACAGGCUGUCAGUGCCCUGAUAAUGAUCAAAAAUUAUCUCUUUGUACGUAUAGCAACGGCCACCGGGGAAACAGUUCCUGAUGUCAAAACUGUCGGCGCUGAUUGGUCGUAACAUUGAACGGACGAAAAAGGACGAAAAUUGUUCAACAGGAAAAUUGAGCCGUGAUGGACAAGUGUCUAAAGAAGAAACAGUUGGGAGUGUGAAGAAUUUUGCGCGUCGGAAACGGUGGCGAUCAGGUGCUAUUGGAGAGUAGUAUUCGACUGGCCGCUUAGCCGCACAUCUUGCCUGUCUAUAUAUACACGCACGGGUCGGCGCUCUCUUUUCCUCGUUUUCUUGGAUAGCUUUGCCACUCGCGCGCCAUUGCCUUUCGACUACUUUAUGAUACGACCGGAACUCGGGCGGGGACCCAGCGUUUGCUACGAUGCGCAUCACUAACAUGACACCACAAAAUUUCCUUCUUGGAAAAUGUCUGUUUUUUUUCGCGGGAAAUUGCGACUUCAUUGACGAUGACAUUUAAAUUUGUAGGAUUUCCCUACGGUGGUGUUUCAUGUGAGAAAUUAGAAUUUUGCUAUCCAGCCCAAACAAAUCGUCUGAUGGAUUCAAGUCUCGCGAAUUAACGCAUACGCACCACUGGAUAGCCCCCUCGGUAGUAACAAUAUUUUCAUCCAAGUUAGUCGAUGCUUGCGUGAUAUACUUCUGCACGGCAAGACUCCACACGCAAGUGUUUGCUACGUACGUAUACAACGUGCAUCAUGUUAUCGACUUAUGCCGAUUUUGUGGUACAUAAAGAAGUAUACCAUUACGAGACACAUUGUGUAAAGGUAAAUAUUACAGUCAAAAUCUAUAUUAGGUAACAUUGACAAUAUGGUAAUGUACCUGAAAGUUACGUCCGUCAAUCAUUUGCUUUCACGAUUUGCAAAAUUAAUUCCUGUUGUGCAAUAUCGUGCGUGGAAAUGAGAGUUGCUAUAGAAACAUAUUUGCAUGUCAAAUGGUUAUGAAUGAAAUCCAGCGUCGCAAAUUGACGAUGUGCACGGAAAAUGAAAGGAAGAUAUCAAUUGCUUACACGAUCCAAGUAGUCGUUGCCAUGGAAACGAUAUUAAAUAUACGUGAACCACUACUAGCAAGAAAAUGGCUGCUAAACUACAGGUUAACAUGGAAAAUACAGUUCAAUUUAACAAAUAACAAUUCAGUUAUUGGGAUUCUGGUAAAUGGUUUUUAAAUUAUAGCAUACUUACAACUGGGUUAUGUGGUAAUUAAUGAUGCUGAGCAAAAGGCUUUUCUGUUCAAUGACUGAACAUCUUUUUGUAAUCAAAAUUCAAAAGAGAUCAAUAAGCAAAGAAGUUUUGAAGAACACACGCACAAAAAAGAAAGAAAUUUACCAAUUAAUAAACAAAGGGCUUUUUAGUAAUC